GGUUUGUAUAAAGGUCUUCGUUAGKUUGUAGGUUUUAUAAACCGAGACAAAUUGUAAAUCGAAAACACAACAARGGAAGAAGUAGAAGGACUUCAACACGAAACGUUCAGACUUUAUGGGUUUUAAGUUCCUCCGACGGAGCUCCAGUAAAAUCAGAAGAUCCCUGGGUUCUUUGCGGCGAAGGAGAUCUUCCAGAGAUGACAGAAAUCAGGCACAGAUUCGAAGGACUGGGAGUCGCUCAGGACAAGCUUUUGGACAAGACAACAGAGGAGCAUCAAAAGAAAUUGGAACUGCUUUGAGAGCAAUUGGAGAUGAAUUAAAYAAUAGUAGACUAAGCCUUGUAUCAACUCAGUCAAAGUCAUGACAAACAUUCCUACAGAACCAGUAGAGAUCAUUUAGCUGUGAUGAAGAACAGAAGAUACAUGAACAUGCACAUUGAARAAUGUAAUUGAACAUGGAUAGCGCACAUACUUACAUAAACAAACAAGCUUGGAAUCUGAAGGCACAAGGUCGAACRCUCUUCUUAGAAAGUGAAAUUGCAAAAAAGAUGAAUGUAAAUUUACUCAUUAGCAAGCUGCUAAAGUGUUGUAGCUUAUAAAUACGCUAAUAAUUGCUUAUUAGCUCAUCAUUGGAAGAAACAAUUCCCAGYWUAAAAUUGUCUUGAACUGAGGAAUCAAUGAGAAAAGGACCACAUACAAAAGUUACUGAUUUGAAAUGUUAGUUUUCACAUGCAUGAACUACUGAUAAUUAUUAAUUUAAAAAAAUAUGUUAAUAUAUAUUGUAUUUAUUUAUAACUUUUGCAGAUGUACAAAUAAAAUUAAUUAUAAAAACAAA
Molecule: long non-coding RNA, 834 nt
Organism: Exaiptasia diaphana
Lineage: Eukaryota; Metazoa; Cnidaria; Anthozoa; Actiniaria; Aiptasiidae
Exons: 2
Source: RefSeq, a predicted model, not a curated record